GUAGGUGAACCUGCGGAAGGAUCAUUAGUAAAAUGAGGCUGAGCCGCUAGGCGAGGCUGGAGAGGGCUUGCCCUCUUUGAAGCAGACACCCGCGAGGGUGGCUGUAGAGACAGUGAUUAUUGCGACUGAAAACCAAGCAUAUAACUUUUAACAAUGGAUCUCUUGGCUCCUGCAUCGAUGAAGAACGCAGCAUCUGACUGACUGAACUGUAU
Molecule: unclassified non-coding RNA, 212 nt
Filed under: plant metagenome
Description: partial contains small subunit ribosomal RNA, internal transcribed spacer 1, and 5.8S ribosomal RNA
Rfam family: 5.8S ribosomal RNA (bases 143-212)
Source: RNAcentral